CGAUGUGGGUGCUUUUAGAUUACGUAACAUUAAGCAUCAAAACUUGGACUCGAUUGAUUUCGCCACACAACCUUUCACAUCACAAGAAAUUUACUAAACUAAUCAUAAUCCAUAGAAUGAACGUUCCUACAUUAUUUCGAGCACAAAUUAAAUCAUUAUUUAGAAUCCAAAAUGGCGGCGGCAGCCGGAGUGAACCACAGCGGCAGCGGCAGAAUCUUCCUUAUCUUCUCGUAUUCAAUCGGAUACAAAUCGCAGCAGGGAUAGAAAUCCUUCUUCUCGUAAUCAAAAACACCAUUNNN
RNAcentral lists this long non-coding RNA (299 nucleotides) under Salvia miltiorrhiza (redroot sage). RNAcentral's name for it is "long non-coding RNA (SMIL_LNC002466)". Lineage: Eukaryota; Viridiplantae; Streptophyta; Magnoliopsida; Lamiales; Lamiaceae. The record is from RNAcentral.